Molecule: long non-coding RNA, 436 nt
Organism: Daphnia pulex (common water flea)
Lineage: Eukaryota; Metazoa; Arthropoda; Branchiopoda; Diplostraca; Daphniidae
Exons: 3
Source: RefSeq, a predicted model, not a curated record
CGUCUGCUUUCGGUUUGUUGUUAUACAAGUUUCGAAAAAGACGAAGUUCGAUAAGAGUUCAAAGAAAAUGGGUGCACGAAAAACAGCCGAGCAAGUAAAAUUACAAAAAUGUGGUCGGUGUGUCAACUCUGGUCGGGUCUUUUUAUGCACUUGCCCAAUAACACAUAGGACUCCAUGCUGUUUUUAGAUUUUAGGCCUGGGCCAGUCACUACAACAGCAAGAUAUGUAAGUUUGGCUUGUGCUGGUAUUGUCCUGUCAUCAGCAACAAUCUAGCUACAUCAUUUGGAUAAACAGCAUCCAGUUUGAUUGGGAAAACUCUGCCCUUGUGUGUACACCUAUGUGAGUGUGGGACUCCCUUUUCCCGUCAUUCAAAUUUUCUCCGGAUGGAGCACUUGUGACCUGGCUGUUUUUCCCAGGCUUAAAGGUAGGACAACUA